CAGCCGCCGCGGUAAUACGGAGGGGGCUAGCGUUGUUCGGAAUUACUGGGCGUAAAGCGCACGUAGGCGGCUAUGUAAGUUAGAGGUGAAAGCCUGGAGCUCAACUCCAGAAUUGCCUUUAAGACUGCGCGGCUAGCAGGUGAGAGAGGUGAGUGGAAUUCCGAGUGUAGAGGUGAAAUUCGUAGAUAUUCGGAAGAACACCAGUGGCGAAGGCGGCUCACUGGCUCAUACUGGACGCUGAGGUGCGAAAGCGUGGGGAGCAAACAGGAUUAGAUACCCGAGUAGUCCCUGUCUCUUAUAC
Molecule: ribosomal RNA, 301 nt
Filed under: uncultured bacterium
Lineage: Bacteria
Description: partial 16S ribosomal RNA
Rfam family: Bacterial small subunit ribosomal RNA
Source: RNAcentral